CUCCGCCCCAGGGCUCCGGGCUCCCCGCGUUCUAACUGCGCCCCCUCGUGUGGCUACAGGAACCCGGACAACGACAUCCGCCCGUGGUGCUUCGUGCUGAACGGCGACCGGCUGAGCUGGGAGUACUGCGACCUGGCACAGUGCCAGACCCCAACCCAGGCGGCGCCUCCGACCCCGGUGUCCCCUAGGCUUCAUGUCCUACUCACGCCCCCGCAGCCGGCAGCGCCGAAGCCUCAGCCCACGACCCGGACCCCGCCUCAGUCCCAGACCCCGGGAGCCUUGCCGGCGAAGCGGGAGCAGCCGCCUUCCCUGACCAGGAACGGCCCACUGAGCUGCGGGCAGCGGCUCCGCAAGAGUCUGUCUUCGAUGACCCGCGUCGUUGGCGGGCUGGUGGCGCUGCGCGGUGCGCACCCCUACAUCGCCGCGCUGUACUGGGGCCACAGUUUCUGCGCCGGCAGCCUCAUCGCCCCCUGCUGGGUGCUGACGGCCGCUCACUGCCUGCAGGACCGGCGAGUACCCGCCCGCCCAGAGCCGCCCCAGGGGCCGCGGCUCCUCCGUCUCCCAGCGCGGCUUCCACGCUGCACCCGAACCCGUGCCCUACCUUCUCCCGCCCCACCCUUCUUUCCACGCCCCUCCGGAGCUCCCGGGGAGGAAGCUGGAACACGGGAUGGGGUUCGGGAGCAGGGGGCUUCCCCAGAACGCUUGUGGCCAGGUCUGAGAGCGCUGCCUCUCCCCUACCCCCACCCCCCGCAGGCCCGCACCCGAGGAUCUGACGGUGGUGCUCGGCCAGGAACGCCAUAACCACAGCUGUGAGCAGUGCCAGACGUUGGCCGUGCGCUCCUACCGCUUGCACGAGGCCUUCUCGCCCGUCAGCUACCAGCACGACCUGGCUCUGUUGCGCCUUCAGGAGGAUGCGGACGGCAGCUGCGCGCUCCUGUCGCCUUACGUUCAGCCGGUGUGCCUGCCAAGCGGCGCCGCGCGACCCUCUGAGACCGCGCUCUGCCAGGUGGCCGGCUGGGGCCACCAGUUCGAGGGGGCGGAGGAAUAUGCCAGCUUCCUGCAGGAGGCGCAGGUACCCUUCCUCCCCCUGGAGCGCUGCUCAGCCCCGGACGUGCACGGAGCCUCCAUCCUCCCCGGCAUGCUCUGCGCAGGGUUCCUUGAGGGCGGCACCGAUGCGUGCCAGGGUGAUUCCGGAGGCCCGCUGGUAUGUGAGGACCAAGCCGCAGAGCGCCGGCUCACCCUGCAAGGCAUCAUCAGCUGGGGAUCGGGCUGUGGUGACCGCAACAAGCCAGGCGUCUACACCGAUGUGGCCUACUACCUGGCCUGGAUCCGGGAGCACACCGUUUCCUGAUUGCUCCGGGACUCAUCUUUCCCUCCUUGGUGAUUCCGCAGUGAGAGAGUGGCUGGGGCAUGGAAGGCAAGAUUGUGUCCCAUUCCCCCAGUGCGGCCAGCUCCGCGCCACGAUGGCGCAGGAACUCAAUAA
RNAcentral lists this small RNA (1483 nucleotides) under Pongo abelii (Sumatran orangutan). RNAcentral describes it as "retained intron". The record is from RNAcentral. Lineage: Eukaryota; Metazoa; Chordata; Mammalia; Primates; Hominidae.